GCUAUUGUGCUUGCUGCUCAGUGCCGACAGUAUAUUAUUAGAUUAGGUGAGAAAUUGGAAGAAACCAAAAUACCACUGUAAGUAUAGGGGAAGAGUGUAAUGUCCAUGUAUUUGUGUUGAUUGUAAGUGGUGCUCUUCCGUUCAAUGUUCUUUCUCCCCGAUCACCAAGCAUUGCAUGGAUGUAUGAGAUAACUCUUCUGCUCUGAUGCGGUGUCCUCGCAAAAUAUUUUUACGCUCAUUGGAAGUAGCUAGGGAUCGAUCUCUUGCAAAGAGUAUCUCGAUUUUCUUAUGGUUUUUAUAUAUUGAGCUUGUUUACUACUACUACUUUCGAUUGCAUCAACUAAAAUGAUUCUUCUCUGUUACUAGUGCACAACACCCUCUUG
This 383-nucleotide long non-coding RNA is filed under the name Setaria viridis. RNAcentral's name for it is "long non-coding RNA (SVIR_LNC009996)". Lineage: Eukaryota; Viridiplantae; Streptophyta; Magnoliopsida; Poales; Poaceae. The record is from RNAcentral.